RNAcentral lists this ribosomal RNA (468 nucleotides) under uncultured bacterium. RNAcentral's name for it is "partial 16S ribosomal RNA". It matches the Rfam family "Bacterial small subunit ribosomal RNA", at positions 28 to 507 of the family's 1533-position model. The record is from RNAcentral.
GACGAACGCUGGCGGCGUGCUUAACACAUGCAAGUCGAACGGUGAAGCUCCAGCUUGCUGGAGUGGAUCAGUGGCGAACGGGUGAGUAACACGUGAGCAACCCGCCCCUGACUCUGGAAUAAGCGCUGGAAACGGCGUCUAAUACUGGAUACGAGAAGGGUCCGCAUGGGCACUUUCUGGAAAGUUUUUCGGUUGGGGAUGGGCUCGCGGCCUAUCAGCUUGUUGGUGAGGUAAUGGCUCACCAAGGCGACGACGGGUAGCCGGCCUGAGAGGGCGACCGGCCACACUGGGACUGAGACACGGCCCAGACUCCUACGGGAGGCAGCAGUGGGGAAUAUUGCACAAUGGGCGAAAGCCUGAUGCAGCGACGCCGCGUGAGGGAUGACGGCCUUCGGGUUGUAAACCUCUUUCAGCAGGGAAGAAGCGAAAGUGACGGUACCUGCAGAAGAAGCACCGGCUAACUACGUG